This 204-nucleotide ribosomal RNA is filed under the name uncultured bacterium. RNAcentral's name for it is "partial 16S ribosomal RNA". It matches the Rfam family "Bacterial small subunit ribosomal RNA", at positions 524 to 724 of the family's 1533-position model. The record is from RNAcentral.
UACGAAGGGGGGCUAGCGUUGCUCGGAAUCACUGGGCGUAAAGCGCACGUAGGCGGCUUUUUAAGUCAGAGGUGAAAAUCCUGGAGCUCAACUCCAGAACUGCCUUUGAUACUGGAGAGCUUGAGUCCGGGAGAGGUGAGUGGAACUGCGAGUGUAGAGGUGAAAUUCGUAGAUAUUCGCAAAGAACACCAGUGGCGAAGGCGG